RNAcentral lists this ribosomal RNA (252 nucleotides) under uncultured bacterium. RNAcentral describes it as "partial 16S ribosomal RNA". It matches the Rfam family "Bacterial small subunit ribosomal RNA", at positions 524 to 776 of the family's 1533-position model. The record is from RNAcentral.
UACGGAGGAUGCGAGCGUUAUCCGGAUUUAUUGGGUUUAAAGGGUGCGUAGGCGGACGCUUAAGUCAGCGGUAAAAUUGCGGGGCUCAACCUCGUCGAGCCGUUGAAACUGGGUGUCUUGAGUGGGCGAGAAGUACGCGGAGUGCGUGGUGUAGCGGUGAAAUGCAUAGACAUCACGCAGAACUCCGAUUGCGAAGGCAGCGUACCGGCGCCCAACUGACGCUGAAGCACGAAGGCGUGGGUAUCGAACAGG